RNAcentral lists this non-coding RNA (102 nucleotides) under Enterococcus sp. RNAcentral's name for it is "THF-I sequence". It matches the Rfam family "THF (Tetrahydrofolate) riboswitch aptamer". From Rfam's summary of the family: THF riboswitch presents a pseudoknot that joins P1-P2 and the loop of P3 and two THF binding. The record is from RNAcentral. Lineage: Bacteria; Bacillati; Bacillota; Bacilli; Lactobacillales; Enterococcaceae.
AUCAGAGUAGGAAAUAGAACGUUUAGUGCUGAGAGGAUGGGAUAUUGCCUUUCUGACAAAGGACAAUUAGAUGUUCGCGGUUUUAUUUUCGCAUUCGCUGCA